Molecule: long non-coding RNA, 1040 nt
Organism: Syngnathoides biaculeatus (alligator pipefish)
Lineage: Eukaryota; Metazoa; Chordata; Actinopteri; Syngnathiformes; Syngnathidae
Exons: 8
Source: RefSeq, a predicted model, not a curated record
CCGCCGCGCUUAGCUCCAAACGACGCCACAAAUUGAGCCCUCUGCGAAGACCAAAGCGAAAAAAGGAAAGUUCAGAAGAGGAGUGUGUUUACACGGCAACGCCACACCUCCCCUGACAUUUCGCCAGCGCGUCUGCGACGCCUCGCCUAAUGAGGCCUCGGCUCUCCCUCGUGUGGCAAAACUAACAAUUAGCGCCGCUGCCGUCACCGUGUCGGUUUCAUACUCGGGCGAUCACGUCAGCGCGAGACGACGCCAUGGCAACAGCAGACAGUUUUAGCGUACCGCUCCUACCCCGGGCCCAGAUUAUUGAGUAAAUACAGGCGGGUUCAUCAGCGCGGAUCUGUAAUGUCGGUCUGUGUCAUUCUUUGAGUUGCCAAUUACACGUUAAAUCCACUCCCAUGCCCGUCAUUCAGGAACUGAGCUCACACGGAGGAGGUCUGGGCAUCCUGGUUGGAACUGAAUGACCCGGAAGAAUCUUUCGGAGCUGAUUGUCACAAAAGAGCCGCGAUGAAAAGAACAAGAAACUAAAGGACCUUCACCCUGAGGAGCCGUGCGGCGUUACGUCCCCUCAAGAUUGGAAAUCUGGAUGAUUUAUAGACGAUAAGUGAACAUAGUUUUGUUCAAAGAGAUGAUCUAUGUAAUAAUUCAGUGGAGAUGGCACUGUCAGCCACAAAGUGAUCCCUGGCGUGAUUGGCUCGUUCUGUAACUGCGGGGACAGAUGACGUCGUCAAUUCCGAUUAGCGCCGUGACAGGGAACGGCGCAAUCGCCGGCAGCUGUAAGGCGGCACUCGAGCGGAAAAGGUCAGAAUGACACCGCGGAAUAUACGUUCCGAGGAAGUGACUUUUACCGAGGGGAGCCCACUGCACCGGGAGCUGGCUCAGGACGCGGUUGUGGUCCUGCCUUUUGACGUACCUGUUGGGGAAGUGUUGCUAGAAGUUCUCUUCCAGUUCUUCCCAAUGUCCUUCCACACCAGGAAAUCCCGAUAAAGCGUCACCGUGAUCUGCCCGUGCUUGUGGUGAAGGUCUGACAGCAACACGAU